RNAcentral lists this unclassified non-coding RNA (244 nucleotides) under plant metagenome. RNAcentral's name for it is "partial contains small subunit ribosomal RNA, internal transcribed spacer 1, and 5.8S ribosomal RNA". The record is from RNAcentral.
GCUCCGUUGGUGAACCAGCGGAGGGAUCAUUACCGAGUUUACAACUCCCAAACCCAGUGUGAACCAUACCAAACUGUUGCCUCGGCGGGGUCACGCCCCGGGUGCGUCGCAGCCCCGGAACCAGGCGCCCGCCGGAGGGACCAACCAAACUCUUUCUGUAGUCCCCUCGCGGACGUUAUUUUUACAGCUCUGAGCAAAAAUUCAAAAUGAAUCAAAACUUUCAACAACGGAUCUCUUGGUUCUG